Molecule: ribosomal RNA, 562 nt
Filed under: Neotoma picta
Lineage: Eukaryota; Metazoa; Chordata; Mammalia; Rodentia; Cricetidae
Description: partial 16S ribosomal RNA
Rfam family: Bacterial large subunit ribosomal RNA
Source: RNAcentral
CAUCACCUCUAGCAUAUCAAGUAUUAGAGGCACUGCCUGCCCAGUGACUAGCGUUAAACGGCCGCGGUAUCCUGACCGUGCAAAGGUAGCAUAAUCAUUUGUUCCUUAAUUAGGGACUGGAAUGAACGGCUUGACGAGGGUUUAACUGUCUCUUAUUUCCAAUCAGUGAAAUUGACCUCCCCGUGAAGAGGCGGGGAUUUUAAAAUAAGACGAGAAGACCCUAUGGAGCUUUAAUUUACUAGUUUAAUCUCAACAACAAACAGCCUACUGGUACAACACACAAAAAUGUAAACUAGUAAUUUUGGUUGGGGUGACCUCGGAGCAUAAAAAAACCUCCGAAUGAUUUUAACCAAGACACACAAGUCUAAGUAAUUUCAUAUCUUAUUGACCCAAAACCUUUUUGAUCAACGGACCAAGUUACCCUAGGGAUAACAGCGCAAUCCUAUUCAAGAGUCCAUAUCGACAAUUAGGGUUUACGACCUCGAUGUUGGAUCAGGACUUCCCAAUGGUGCAGAAGCUAUUAAUGGUUCGUUUGUUCAACGAUUAAAGUCCUACGUGAUCA